AUGGCUCCCCAACCCCGGCCUGCUCCCUUUCUCCCGGGGCUCUAUCCCGCAGCAGGGAGGUUAGAGACGUCGGGCCAUCCCUCCCCGUCUCCUGCCCACCAGCCACCCGGGCAGGUCUUCUCCUCCGUCCCGUCCGGGGCUGGCCUCGCCUCCCCCUCCCCUCCACCCCGAGGUGUUGGGUUUGUGGGGAGGUGGGGGGGGUUGUCUCCAUGUAGUGUGUNNNNNNNNNNCCCCCCCCCCCCCAACCUCCUCCGCCCCGGGGUGGGAGACCAGGUCUACCGCUGCCCUCCGGGCGCCGAGGGAGGAGCCGGCGACAAAAAGAGAGAGAGCCCCGCUUUAACCCUCCUCUCCCCUCUUGCCUUUCCCCCCUCCCCAACACCCCCUUCAGGUGAGGGCCGCGCCGUCGAGGCCGGAGGCGACGCGGGAGCAGCCAGGGCCGCCGGCAGGCUCACCCUCGUCAGAGCGAGGCCUCUCGGUCACCCUCCUUACCCUCCCAGGAACAUCUGCUGGGGAAGCACGAUACAGCAAAGAUUUUCAUCCACCUCCAUGGACACCUGUCUCUGGGAAGGGCCCUCAGCUGAUUCCCCUGCUCCUCCCGCCUCGUCUCCUCCCGAGCACAAGCCCAGUUUUCCUGGUGAACCCAGGAGUGGAAAACUGGGAGGCAGGGCAGCAGGCAGAGGAGUGAGCCUGAAUCCCAGGAGCCAGUUCAGCAGAUGUGAUCCCAAAGCCGGGUUGGCCGCUCUCUCCUGGCCCUUGGACGCUCACAAAGUUCCCCGUCGGAGGAGAGGAAGCAGAUGUCAGGGCUCGUCAAUAUUCCUCAGGACAGAUUUCUUCCGCAAAGUCCUUUCAGAGCAGAUCUACCAGUGCAAUGUCAGUGAUAACAGGUUGAAAAGGAUGAUAAAAUAA
RNAcentral lists this long non-coding RNA (906 nucleotides) under Calidris pugnax (ruff). Its description in RNAcentral is "lncRNA (ENSCPUG00000019311.1)". Lineage: Eukaryota; Metazoa; Chordata; Aves; Charadriiformes; Scolopacidae. The record is from RNAcentral.